RNAcentral lists this long non-coding RNA (6311 nucleotides) under Sus scrofa (pig). Its description in RNAcentral is "lncRNA (ENSSSCG00025068944.1)". Lineage: Eukaryota; Metazoa; Chordata; Mammalia; Artiodactyla; Suidae. The record is from RNAcentral.
GUGAUGCUAACUGUGAGCCUUGCUUAGUUUUUCUAAUUUGCCGCGGGGCUUUUUGGAGGUUGAAAUAAAAGCUAAAUCUUCUGUUCGUCAUGUCUAGUCCUAAGGUAGUAGAUUACCUAAAGACAGUGUAGUUACCUUCAUUUUCACUUUGCAGUUAAGCAGUGAGAAGCUUUUCCCUUCUGAACCGCAAGAAGCAGACAGAGAUCCUGUGGGUAUCAGUGCUCCUCCAGUGGUAAGAGCCAGAUGUCCAGUUGAGGCGAAACAAAUUGCCUGGGUUGCUCCUUCCGCAGCUCGGCUGCUUUCUGAAUUGUGCUGGCCAACUGUGGUGGCCACUUUCAUCUUCAGAUUCAUCUAGGAGCCAGUCUUUCUCACUAGCUUAAGGAAGAGCGUGCUCUGGCCAGCCUGGGUCUCUCGCCCAGCGUUCGAGGGAGCUGGAUGCCCUGUUUUGUAGUCCUGUCAUGAUGCAGUAAGGAGAAGGUGCUUCCCACUAGAAGAAGGGGCGCCGGGCAGACAGAUCAUAUGUAUGCUUUUUAAGGGCGUCGGGUCAUUUUUUUGGCCCACUUUUAUGAAAUUAAACCAAAAGUAAUGAAUAGGAGAUUAAUAUCUGGAGUUUUGGCAGAAAAAAAAUCGCACUCAUUGUCUGAUUAAUUUUAACUCUAAAUGAGCCUUUACUUGUAGUUCUUUCUUAUCUAAACAUGCUCAUUUAAGCUAAAACGUUUCACAUACUUCUUCCUGCUGCCCAUGGAAGUGAGGGGAAGACCUGCCUUCCAGCGUGACCGACCGUCAGGCCUGAUUUUAUAUACUUCUCUUGAGUUCCCGUCGUGGCACAGCAGAAACGCAUCCGACUAGGAACCAUGAGGUUGCCGGUUCAAUCCCUGGCCUUGCCCUGUGGGUUAAGGAUCCGGCGUUGCUAUGGCUGUGGUGUAUGCCAGCAGCUCCAGGUCCAAUUCGACCCCUAGCCUGGAAACCUCCAUAUGCUUCGGGUGCGGCCCUAAAAAGACAACAAAUAAAAUACAUACUUCUUUUGAGAGUUCUUUUAUGUAGUUUCUUUAGCUCUCUGAGACGGGGGGGGGGGGGGGGGGGUGUAUCCAACUCUCUUGAAGUUCCUGCCUCCCUACAGAUUGCUGAAACCCAUUUUUGUGAUUAGAUUCUUUCUUUCAUUUACUUGGACUCUCAAGCUCUGUCAUUGUCCAUAUGUUGUAUGAUUCAUCUCUGAAGCAAUUUUUUCCCCCUUGAAUUUCAGGCUAGUUUCCCAGUUCCUUUUCAUGACACUGAGUAUGUGGUGAUGGGGACAGUGCUGUUGAUGUGGUUGCGAUUUUCCUGCUCAAAAAGGAAAAUACUUUUUAUCACGGAGUGCUUCUAAUCUAAACUCAAUAGAUAGAUAUAGGUGAUACAUAAAUACCAUCAUGAAGCUGAACAAAUAACUUUGAAUACUGUGUGGUUCUUGUGUUGCUUCCAGUACCUGUCAGGAUAUAUUUUUAGUGUGAAAAUUAAGUGUUGAAAUAACUUCUGGUUUUGGACUGUCUGUAAAAAUGUAUUCUUUAUAGAGUGAGAACAGGCAUUUAAAGGGCAUCUGAUAGAAUCCUCCAGCCUUAACUGAGAUCCCCCCAGAACUACCUCGCCACUUCCUGCUGCUUAAACACAUGUAGUGAUGUUGUGGAAAUGUGUUGUUUUGGAUGUUUUAAUUUAAAAAUCCAUCCUUGUUUUGAACUGAAGUCUGCUAUCUUGUGAUCUUAUCCCCCUUUGCUCUGGAGAAGCACUUAGCACACAGAUGAGUUUUUGAGCUCUUGUUAAACAGUGCAUCUCUUGACAGAAUUAAGAAUGGUCAUCUUUAGGAGUUCCCACCGUGGCAUGGUGGAAACGAAUCCGACUGGGAACCAUGACGUUGCAGGUUCAAUCCCUGGCCCUGAUCAGUGGGUUGAGGAUCCAGGCUAGGAGUCUAAUUGGAGCUGUAGCCGCCGGCCUGCACCACAGCUCACAGCAAUGCCAGAUCGUUAACCCACUGAGUGAGGCCAGGGAUCGAACCCGCAACCUAACGGUUCCUAGUCGGAUUCGUUUCUGCCCUGCCAUGACGGAACUCCUGAAAUUAUCUUUGAUGAAGGACUGUUUUUAAAAAUUCUCUAUGCAUAGCAGACUGAUACUUUUAUAAAGUACAAUAAAAAUAAAUUAGUAGAAAAAUGAAAUUUUAGUAGAAAACAAGCUCAUUUUAAAAAUUAAAGUGAACAGACAUAAAAAUACUGUCAGGUUCCUCUGUAAGUUUCUGAAUGUGUGGUCUCAAAUUUAUUCUUUCCUGUUCAUGAGCUGCUUGUGCUUUGAGUACCUCUCCUGUGGAGGAGUAACUUCUUUUCUUUUUUUUUGGCUUUAGGGCUGCACCCGCGGCAUAUGGAGGUUCCCAGGCUAGGGGUUCAAUCAGAGCUGUAGCUGUGGGCCUACACCACAGCAACGUGGGAUCUGAGCCGUGUCUACAACCUACACCACAGCUCACAGCAAUGCCAGAUCCUUAACUCACUGAGCCAGGCCAGGGAUUGAACCCGCAACCUCGUGGGUGCUAGUCGAGUUCAUUAACCGCUGAGCCAUGAUGGGAACUCCCCAAGUAAUUUCUUUUUGAUCAUAUACCCCAUCAGUUCAGAAUUCUAGAAACUGCCAUGUGUUGCUUGCAUUUAAAUCGUAUGCAUGUACUUCUGUGCAGUUAUACAAUGUGCACUAUAAAUUAGAAAAUAACUAAAGAUUGUAUAUGCUAUUUUAAAUUUUUAAAAUUUAUUAUUAAUAGUAAAAUAGUUCACUAAAAUAUUGUUUAGUGAAAGCAGUGUAGUUGAAAAUGCUUUAAAACUUUUGAAAGCCUUGGUUCAUUCAUAAAACAAAUAAUUAGUGUAUUAAACCCAUGGCAUUAUACAAUUAAAAUAUAUACAAUUAACAUUUGUCAAUUAUACUUUAAUAAAGCUGGAAAAUUAAAUAAAAAAUAAUCUAAGCCCUCUUCAGGUGAUACUAGACCAUGAUAAAUACAAAAAUCCUUGCACACAUGGAAUCUUCUUUCUAGUGGAGGUUAACAUUUUGUGAUAUGGUCAUUGAACUCUGGUUUUAGGGUUGAGCUUGUUUUAUAUUUGUUUUGGUUGCUGUCGUUGUUGAAAUAAAUGCCUUCCUUCCAAGGUAUACAGAUAAAAAUGGGAUAAUUAUGGUAUUUGUGUUUCCUUAAUAAUGGUCUUCAGUUUUCAAUAUUAUCUAACAAUUCUGGACAGGUUUAAUGUGUUGUUUUGUUUUGGUUUGGGUUUUUUUGUUUUUUAGGGCCACACCCACGGCAUAUGGAGGUUCCCAUGCUAGGGGUCUAAUUGGAGCUGUAGCUGCCAGCCUACACCACAGUUACAGCAAUGCAGGAUCCGAGCCACGUCUGUGACCUAACCAGAGCUCAUGGCAAUGCCAGAUCCUUAACCCACUGAGAAAGGCCAGGGAUUGAACCUCUGUCCUCAUGGAUGGUAGUCAGAUUCGUUAACCACUGAGCCACAACAGGAACUCCCACGCAUGUGUGUAUUUUUAAUACAUUUUUUCAAAACCUAGUGAAACUGUGGAUUUAAACAGGUUAGGAAUUAUUAAUUUUCAAGGUGAUGUUCAGGUGAGAUUAUCUUUUUAAAGUGGGUUCGUUUACAUUUGUAACUGUAAAAGCUUGCCAACUCGCCGUGUAUCUGUUCACUAAUAGAUUACUUUAGUCUUACUGUCCUAAUUACUUUAGCUUUUAUAAGUCUUCCUGGGCAAUAGACUAGGAGUCCGCAAACAUGUUCUUCCUCUUCUUGAAGUAUAGCUGCAUUACAAUGUUGUGCUCUACAGCGCAGUGAUUUAUUUGUACAUAUGUAUUUUUAUAUUCAAUUAUGGUUCAUCACAAGACAUGGAAUAUAGUUCCGUGUGCCAUACAGUAGGACCUCGUUGUUUAUCCAUCCUCUCUGUAAUAGUUUGCAUCUCCCAAUCCUCCCCUCCCCAGCUUCUCCUCCUUGGUAACCACAAGUCUAUUCUCUGUAUCUGUCUGUCUUUGUUUCCUAGAUAUGUUGAUUUGUUGCAGUUAAGAUUCCACAUAUAAGUGAUAGCAUAUGGAUUUGUCUUUCUCUUUCUGAGUUACUUUGCUUAGUAUGAUAAUCUAGGUCUAUCCAUGUGCUGCUGCAAAUGGCGUUAUUCUUUUUUAUGGCUGAGUAAUAGUCCAUUGUGUGUAUAUUCACACACACACACACACACACACACAUCUUUAUCCAUUCAUCUGUUGAUGGACAUUUAGGUUGCCUCCAUGUCUUGGCUAUCCUAAGUAGUGCUGCAUUGAACUUUGGGUGCAUGUAUCUUUUCAAAUUACGGUUUUCUCUGGAUAUAUGCCCUGGAGUGGGAUUGCUGGGUCAUAUGUUUCUUAAUAUGAAACUCCAUUCUGAUCUUCGUAGUGGUUCUACCAGUUUACAUUGCCGCCCACAGUGGAGGAGGGUUCCCUUUUCUCCACACCUUCCCCAGCGUUUGUUAUUUGUAGACUUAGUAAUCAUGGCCAUACCAACCAGUGUGAGGUGGUCCUUCACUGUAGUCUUGAUUUGCCUCUCACUAAUUAGAGAUAGAGAGCAUUUUUUUCCGUGUACCUCCUAUCCAUAUGUAUAUCUUCUUUGAAGAAAUGUGUAUUUUUUGAUUGGGUUGUUUUUUUGUUGUUGAAUUGUAUGAGAAGUUUGUAUAUUUUGGAAGUUAAGCCCUUGUGGGUAGCACUAUUUGCAACUAUUUCUCCCAGUCUGUAAGUCGUCUUUUUGUUUUGCUUAUGGGGUUUACUUUACUGUGCAAAAGCAUGUAAAUUUGAUUAGGUCCCAUUUGUUUGUCUUUGUUUUUAUUUUUUUUGCCUUGGGAGACUGACCUAAGAAAACGUCGGUACAAUUUAUGUCAGAAUGUUUUGCCUGUGUUUUUUUGUAGGAGUUUUACGGUGCUCUGUCUUACAUUUAAGUCUUUAAGCCAUAUUGAGUUAAAUUUAUGUAUGGUGUGAGAUGUGUUCAGACUUCAUUGAUUUGCAUGCAAUUGUCAGCAAACUUCUUUUUUUCUUUUUAGGGCUGCAUCUGCAGCAUAUGCAAGUUCCCAGGCCAGGGGUCAAAUCAGAACUGCAGCAGGGGCUUAUGCCACUGGCAACACUGAAUCUGCAACCUGCACCACAGCUUGUGGCAAUGCCCGAUCCUUAACCCAUUGAAUGAGGCCGAGGAUUGAACCUGCAUCCUCACAGAGACCACAUCGGGUCCUUAACUUCUUGAGCCACAACAGGAACUCCAGCAACCAUGUUCUUAAAGGGCCAGAUAUGAAAUGUUGUAGGCUUUGCAGGCCGGAUGGUCUCUGCACACUACUCACCUCAACUACUGUAGAUAGGAAGUAGCUGUAGACAGUACAUGAACAAUGUAGAGUGACUAUGUCCCAGGAAAACUUUAUUUACAAAAAGAGGCACAUUGCUGUGAACCUGAAACUGGUCUGAGAAAAUAAAGUCUGCUGAAAGGAAAGCCCAGAGUUCCCAUCGUGGCUCAGCAGUAACAAACCAGACUAGUAUCCCUGAGGCUGUGGCUGCAAUCUCUGGCCUCGAUCAGUGGGUUAAGGAUCCAGCGUUGCCAUGGUGUAGAUUGAAGAUGCGGCUCAGAUCUUGUGUUGCUGUGGCUGUGGUGUAGGCCAGCAGCUGCAGCUCCGAUUCUAUGCCCUAAAAAAGAAAGGAAGGAAGGAAGAAAUGAAGGAAGAAGGAAGAAAGAAACGAAGACAGAAGCAACAGCAUCAUUUUUGUAUUCUUCUCGACAGUGAUGUAUAACCUAAAUCCGAUCAUCAGACAGAACUUAAUUAAGGGACAUUCUGCAAGAUAAUUGGCCAGUAAACUUCAGAAUUAUCAAGUUCAUAAGGACAAAGAAAGCAUGAAAAUUAUUCUAGGUUGAAGGAGACCAAAGAGAUAUGACAACUAAAUGCAACAUGUGGUUCUAACUAGUCAGAAUCUUGAACAAGUCUGAACAUUCUGUGGUAGAAAUGUGUUAUCACCUAUUUCCCAAUGGUGAUGGCUGCAUUAUUUGUUGUAGGAGAUUGUCCUUGUUGGAAAUAAACACAAAGGUGUCUGGGUGAGAUGGAGCAUCACUGUCAGCAGCUUACUCUCAAAGGACACAGGGGAAAAAUGGUUUUGUAUUGUACUUGCAACUUAUUCUAUAAGUUUGAGACAUUGUUUCAGCAUUCUUAAAACAUGUAUCAUUAACAGCAAGUAAAUUUGUUGCAGAAAAACAAAAACAGGCAGCCUAGUUUGACAACCCCCUACAUACUUUGAUGCUCUCCUGGAUAUUCUUGUUGUUACUGUU